Molecule: long non-coding RNA, 603 nt
Organism: Hydra vulgaris (swiftwater hydra)
Lineage: Eukaryota; Metazoa; Cnidaria; Hydrozoa; Anthoathecata; Hydridae
Source: RefSeq, a predicted model, not a curated record
AUUAAAUCGAUCGUUUUGAGUCAAUUGAAAAGUACUUCCUUUACGCAAAUCAAAUUAUUGCAGUAUAAUAAUGACACCCUGUAUAAAUACUCGAGUGAUUCGUGUCUUCUUACCAAAUUUUAAAGUCUAGAACAUUGUACUAUACAAAAUUGUAAACACGACAAAGUUAUGGAAGCAAAAUAUCUGUUAUUACUAUGCGUUGCAUUAUUCUGUUUCUUUCGCACUUGUCAAUGUUAUUGCGACUGUGAUUAUCAUGCUGGAGGUUGUACUAUAAGCAGGGGAGCCAAAAAGAACGGUGAAACAUGUAAAUGUGUUUACAAAGGUGCAUGGACUUGCACAGGCUAUGAUGUUGGUUGCAACUCUGAUCAAAAACGUAUUUGCAAAAAAGGGUGUCGAAGUAGAGAGUGCUGUAAUGCUGGAGGCGGUGAUUGCGGUGGAUAUUAAAGUUUUUGUAUUAAACUAUUGAAUUUAUAUAAUUAAAACUUUGUAGUAAAUAUAUAUAUAUAUAUAUAUAUAUAUAUAUAUAUAUAUAUAUAUAUAUAUAUUUACAUUUGUUAGUCUUGUUGUAACUAUAUACUGCCAAGAAUAAAAAUAAUAAACUUU